UGGGGAAUAUUGGACAAUGGGCGAAAGCCUGAUCCAGCCAUGCCGCGUGUAUGAAGAAGGCCUUCGGGUUGUAAAGUACUUUCAGCGAGGAGGAAGGCGUUGUGGUUAAUAACCGCAGCGAUUGACGUUACUCGCAGAAGAAGCACCGGCUAACUCCGUGCCAGCAGCCGCGGUAAUACGGAGGGUGCAAGCGUUAAUCGGAAUUACUGGGCGUAAAGCGCACGCAGGCGGUCUGUCAAGUCGGAUGUGAAAUCCCCGGGCUCAACCUGGGAACUGCAUCCGAAACUGGCAGGCUAGAGUCUUGUAGAGGGGGGUAGAAUUCCAGGUGUAGCGGUGAAAUGCGUAGAGAUCUGGAGGAAUACCGGUGGCGAAGGCGGCCCCCUGGACAAAGACUGACGCUCAGGUGCGAAAGCGUGGGGAGCAAACA
Molecule: ribosomal RNA, 427 nt
Filed under: uncultured bacterium
Lineage: Bacteria
Description: partial 16S ribosomal RNA
Rfam family: Bacterial small subunit ribosomal RNA
Source: RNAcentral